This 468-nucleotide ribosomal RNA is filed under the name uncultured bacterium. RNAcentral's name for it is "partial 16S ribosomal RNA". It matches the Rfam family "Bacterial small subunit ribosomal RNA", at positions 28 to 507 of the family's 1533-position model. The record is from RNAcentral.
GACGAACGCUGGCUGCGUGCUUAACACAUGCAAGUCGAACGGAAAGGCCCUGCUUUUGUGGGGUGCUCGAGUGGCGAACGGGUGCGUAACACGUUAGUAACCUGCCCUUGACUUUGGGAUAACUUCAGGAAACUGGGGCUAAUACCGGAUAGGCGCUCCUGCUGCAUGGUGGGGGUUGGAAAGUUUCGGCGGUUGGGGAUGGACUCGCGGCUUAUCAGCUUGUUGGUGGGGUAGUGGCUUACCAAGGCUUUGACGGGUAGCCGGCCUGAGAGGGUGACCGGCCACAUUGGGACUGAGAUACGGCCCAGACUCCUACGGGAGGCAGCAGUGGGGAAUAUUGCACAAUGGGCGGAAGCCUGAUGCAGCAACGCCGCGUGCGGGAUGACGGCCUUCGGGUUGUAAACCGCUUUCGCCUGUGACGAAGCGUGAGUGACGGUAAUGGGUAAAGAAGCACCGGCUAACUACGUG